GAAAUGCGAUAAGUAGUGUGAAUUGCAGAAUUCAGUGAAUCAUCGAAUCUUUGAACGCACAUUGCGCCCUUCGGUAUUCCGUUGGGCAUGCCUGUUCGAGCGUCAUUUAAACCUUCAAGCUAUGCUUGGUGUUGGGUGUUUGUUCCGCCUCAGCGCGUGGACUCGCCUCAAAUUCAUUGGCAGCCGGUAUGUUGGCUUCGUGCGCAGCACAUUGCAAGCGACUUCAGCAAACCCCCUUCCAUAAGCCCUUUUUUUACUUUGACCUCGGAUCAGGUAGGGAUACCCGCUGAGUUUAA
This 296-nucleotide unclassified non-coding RNA is filed under the name uncultured Pleosporales. RNAcentral's name for it is "sequence contains ITS1". The stretch from base 1 to 105 matches the Rfam family "5.8S ribosomal RNA", at positions 50 to 154 of the family's 154-position model. Lineage: Eukaryota; Fungi; Ascomycota; Dothideomycetes; Pleosporales. The record is from RNAcentral.